Molecule: ribosomal RNA, 762 nt
Filed under: Triticum aestivum (bread wheat)
Lineage: Eukaryota; Viridiplantae; Streptophyta; Magnoliopsida; Poales; Poaceae
Description: partial small subunit ribosomal RNA
Source: RNAcentral
AUGAAGCUGGUUGUUCCUUUUCUUUGCCCGGUGCAACGCACGGGCAUUUGUACUAGUGAUGAUAAUGCUGCCAUCAGAGGAAAAGACCAAGAUCACUCGGCCAUUGGAGUCAUCUUCAGAGAGAUUAAAAAAUUUGCUCGUUUAAAUUUUUCUCCGUUUGAUAUUGCUUUUUGCCCAAGAGGCUGUAAUAAGGUAGCUGACUCUCUAGCUGCUCACGAAGCGAGUAUGGGCCAUGCAUCCUCAGCCUUUUUGGCCGGAUGGGGCGCCGGAUUUUGUACACGCUUUGAUUACAAGCGACAUGGCUGGUCGUUCUGUCCUCCAAAAGCUAGGAUUUGGGCUCAAGUAGAUUGCGUGGGUGGCUGGAUUGCUUGCAUGCAUCUUUCAUCCACGAGGGUUCUUGUUAGGGAAACGUUUGUGGCCAGCGGUCUGGCUGAAACUUCGGCCGGUCGUGCGCGGCGCGUACGAUACAAGCAAUCGUAUGUUCCAUAUUCUUCUUCACGCCAACACACUAGCGCGUGGGCCUCGUGCGGCUGCUGGCCCAUCUGCUCACCCAACCUUAUCUCUUCCUCACGCUCACCCAGCCUUAUCUCUUCCUCACGAGACUCCUCAACCAUUCGUUCUCCACCGCCGCUCUAUCUCUAUGUCUCUCUCAAUCCAAUUCAAGCAUGGCGACUGCAAGCAAGGUGGGCGCCGACGGGCCUGAUGGUGGUGCGGGGGGACGCACCCAUGGAUGCUGGCGAGAGUUACAACCAUGGCGGCUAG